GCAGCCGCGGUAAUUCCAGCUCCAAUAGCGUAUAUUAAAGUUGUUGCGGUUAAAAAGCUCGUAGUUGGAUCUCAGUUCCGGGCCGACGGUGCGCCUCCGGCGAUUACUGUCGGUCCGAACAGCUAGUUGGCUUGCACGGGGUGCUCUUUACCGAGUGUCCCGCGUGGCCGGCAUGUUUACUUUGAAAAAAUUAGAGUGCUCAAAGCAGGCUAAUGCCUGAACAGUUGUGCAUGGAAUGAUGGAAUAGGACCUCGGUUCUAUUUUGUUGGUUUUCGGAACCCGAGGUAAUGAUUAAUAGAGACGGACGGGGGCAUUCGUAUUGCGACGCUAGAGGUGAAAUUCUUGGACCGUCGCAAGACGAACUACUGCGAAAGCAUUUGCCCAGAACGUUCUCAUUAAUCAAGAA
This 406-nucleotide ribosomal RNA is filed under the name Mysis oculata. Its description in RNAcentral is "SSU rRNA". It matches the Rfam family "Eukaryotic small subunit ribosomal RNA", at positions 570 to 983 of the family's 1831-position model. The record is from RNAcentral. Lineage: Eukaryota; Metazoa; Arthropoda; Malacostraca; Mysida; Mysidae.